Molecule: ribosomal RNA, 505 nt
Filed under: uncultured bacterium
Lineage: Bacteria
Description: partial 16S ribosomal RNA
Rfam family: Bacterial small subunit ribosomal RNA
Source: RNAcentral
AUUGAACGCUGGCGGCAGGCCUAACACAUGCAAGUCGGACGGUAGCACAGAGAGCUUGCUCUCGGGUGACGAGUGGCGGACGGGUGAGUAAUGUCUGGGGAUCUGCCCGAUAGAGGGGGGAUAACCACUGGAAACGGUGGCUAAUACCGCAUAACGUCGCAAGACCAAAGAGGGGGACCUUCGGGCCUCUCACUAUCGGAUGAACCCAGAUGGGAUUAGCUAGUAGGCGGGGUAAUGGCCCACCUAGGCGACGAUCCCUAGCUGGUCUGAGAGGAUGACCAGCCACACUGGAACUGAGACACGGUCCAGACUCCUACGGGAGGCAGCAGUGGGGAAUAUUGCACAAUGGGCGCAAGCCUGAUGCAGCCAUGCCGCGUGUAUGAAGAAGGCCUUCGGGUUGUAAAGUACUUUCAGCGGGGAGGAAGGCGGUGCGGUUAAUAACCGCGCCGAUUGACGUUACCCGCAGAAGAAGCACCGGCUAACUCCGUGUCAGCAGCCGCCGUAA